This 547-nucleotide ribosomal RNA is filed under the name uncultured bacterium. Its description in RNAcentral is "bacterial SSU rRNA". It matches the Rfam family "Bacterial small subunit ribosomal RNA", at positions 529 to 1069 of the family's 1533-position model. The record is from RNAcentral.
AAUUGGCGAGCGUUGUUCGGAAUUACUGGGCUUAAAGGGCGCGUAGGCGGUGAGAUAAGUCCGUGGUGAAAUCCUAUGGCUUAACCAUAGAAUUGCCUCGGAAACUGUCUUACUUGAGUCAGCGAGGGGAUGGUGGAAUUCCUGGUGUAGCAGUGAAAUGCGUAGAUAUCAGGAGGAAGGCCGGUGGCGAAGGCGACCAUCUGGCGCUGAACUGACGCUGAGGCGCGAAAGCGUGGGUAGCAAACAGGAUUAGAUACCCUGGUAGUCCACGCCCUAAACGGUGGGCAUUAGGUGUAGGGCUCGUAAGGGUUCUGUGCCGUAGGGCAACCAUUAAAUGCCCCGCCUGGGGAGUACGGCCGCAAGGUUGAAACUCAAAGGAAUUGACGGGGGCCCGCACAAGCGGUGGAGCAUGUGGUUUAAUUCGACGCUACGCGAAGAACCUUACCUGGGUUUGACAUGUUAGUGGUAAGAACCCGAAAGGGGGAUGACCUGUAGCAAUACAGGAGCUAUCACAGGUGCUGCAUGGCUGUCGUCAGCUCGUGUCCUG